Long non-coding RNA from Numida meleagris (helmeted guineafowl), 349 nucleotides. RefSeq lists it as uncharacterized. NCBI's taxonomy places the organism in Eukaryota, Metazoa, Chordata, Aves, Galliformes, Numididae. The record is from RefSeq and is a predicted model, not a curated record. The transcript is spliced from 4 exons.
GGUAAUGCAGGCCCCAACUCAAUAGAUAGCUGGCGGCUGUGCUCAGGAAAACGGGCUUUCACUUGCCUCCAUAAUAAGCAGUUACCUAUGGCAACCAGCUAACACCUCCAUCCAACACAUGGACCUGAAUCUGCCAAAAUGCUGAACCUCGAGGAGAGAAGAAAACUAAUUCAGAAAGAAAACAUUUUCAUUAGAGGUCAGAAAGUAAAGAGACAGCUCGUGGCAACCCAUGGCAGAACUGCAAUCACACCGAUGCUGCUCACACACCCCUGAAUCCCAGUGCUGCUCAGGCUUUGAUUAAAUGUCCCAAGAUGGGAUUCAACACCUGGCUGAAGAGUUUUGUUCCUGG